GUUGUUUCAAGCUGGUGUGUCUAAGUUGUAGGCAUUUUAACUGCUUAGGUAAAGGGAUUUUCUCUUAUGAAUACGUUGAGAUAGUUAAUAACAUGCUUUCAUGGGAAGUUAAGAAAAUAAGUGAUGUGCAAGCUUAAAUGAAUCGGUUUCAUAACUAAUAUGGCACACUAGCUUAGAUAAGGAUGUCUUGAUCUGGGGUACCAGGUUACUAUAUU
Molecule: non-coding RNA, 215 nt
Organism: Pelobates cultripes (western spadefoot toad)
Lineage: Eukaryota; Metazoa; Chordata; Amphibia; Anura; Pelobatidae
Source: the annotation of a GenBank genome assembly